CUCCAGCCUACCCACAGGCACCACCGGCUCAUGCACACAAAGGAGUAUUUCUGGAGCCCACUGCUGUAAGAUUGCAUAAUCGCUCAUGCAAUUUAGUCGGCGGGGACAGGAGAAUGAGGCUCCUUCACUGCCGUUGUGUGUAGGUAUGCAGAGGAGUUAUGGCUAAAUAACAGCAGCAGCAGCCAAUGAAGCAUCUAUAUUUGGCUGGCUACUUAAAUGGACAAAAAGGAGGAUUUUUUCCAUCUUCUUCAUUAACGGCCACCAAAAUGGGACAGAGGGGACACCCAUGGGGAAAUGCCAUACAGUGCAGAUGAGGCCAGUCUACUCCAGAUGAGGACAGCCAAGUAAUGUAUGUGAAGACAUGCUGCAGCACGUGUGCAGUUGUGUUUCCAAUGACAGCCAGUGGCGAAGGCAUGAAGUAGUGGAAAGAAGAAAGAAGGUAACAAUGAAGAUCUUUGAAAAAUCAUUUAUCAGACAACAAGUCCCCUGGUGUGUUGAACAAGGGAGAAAUCAUGGAGGUGGAGCUACGUCCUGAAUUUGUCUCGAGCUGGGAUAAGCGUGUU
Molecule: long non-coding RNA, 563 nt
Filed under: Calidris pugnax (ruff)
Lineage: Eukaryota; Metazoa; Chordata; Aves; Charadriiformes; Scolopacidae
Description: lncRNA (ENSCPUG00000007047.1)
Source: RNAcentral